AGUGACUGUCAUUCUAAAUCUAUUCAACAGCAAAAUGUUUCGGAUGAUGAAACCCAGGAUGAACGAAUUUUUGCACAUGAGGGUACAAUAAAGAAAUUGGAAAAUUUAGUUGAAAAUGUGACAAAAUCAAAAGAUAAACCCGAUCACCCUGUGAUGUUUUACGCAAAAAUGUCUGCAAGAUCAUUCACAUUAAAUAUGUUAUCGACAGUUGUGUUUGAAACCGUGAUCCUAAACAUCGGCGGCCAUUAUGAUCAAUUUGAUGGGAUCUUUGUUGCACCUAGGAAAAGCGUCUACAUGUUUUCCUGGACUGUAUCUAUUGGUAGUGGCAAUUAUGUUGUAACUGAACUUGUAGUUGAAGAUAAAAUUAUAUCGGGAACAGGAAAUACCGACAGCAAUGGAGGAUAUCAUUCUGCGUCGAUGACGGUAUUAUGUAGGAUGGAAAAAGAUGAGCAUGCUUUUAUCAGAACCGCAAAACAUGGUAGUACAAAUCAUUUUUACAGCCAACCAAACUAUCCCCAAACGUCGUUUCUAGGAAUGCUUGUAUACGAUGAAAUGUGAAUAUUUGCAAACUUACAUACUGAAAUAGGUGUUUACUACCUGUAGCUUAUGCAUAACUCGAUGAACGUUACCCGAUAAUUAUGUUUCGAUUUCUAACAUCACUGAAGAGACAUUAUUUGUCGAAAUCCGGAUAUGGUGUAUAAAUUUUUGCACCUCAUGUUUGCGGUAUACCAUCUUCUCCGCAAGUUUAUUGUUUUCUGUUUGGUAUUAAAUUUACAAUUAAUAUCCAUGUUA
Molecule: long non-coding RNA, 792 nt
Organism: Mytilus californianus (California mussel)
Lineage: Eukaryota; Metazoa; Mollusca; Bivalvia; Mytilida; Mytilidae
Exons: 2
Source: RefSeq, a predicted model, not a curated record